This 255-nucleotide ribosomal RNA is filed under the name uncultured Methanomicrobiales archaeon. RNAcentral describes it as "partial 16S ribosomal RNA". It matches the Rfam family "Archaeal small subunit ribosomal RNA", at positions 1098 to 1352 of the family's 1478-position model. Lineage: Archaea; Methanobacteriati; Methanobacteriota; Methanomicrobia; Methanomicrobiales. The record is from RNAcentral.
AUUGGGACCGCCACUGCUAAAGAGGAGGAAGGAAUGGGCAACGGUAGGUCAGCAUGCCCCGAAUUAUCUGGGCUACACGCGGGCUACAAUGGGUGGGACAAUGGGUAUCGACACCGAAAGGUGAAGGCAAUCUCCUAAACCCAUCCUUAGUUCGGAUUGUGGGUUGCAACUCACCCACAUGAAGCUGGAAUCCGUAGUAAUCGUGUCUCAAAAUGGCACGGUGAAUAAGUCCCUGCUCCUUGCACGAAUUCGCCG